RNAcentral lists this small nuclear RNA (105 nucleotides) under Haemaphysalis longicornis (longhorned tick). Lineage: Eukaryota; Metazoa; Arthropoda; Arachnida; Ixodida; Ixodidae. The record is from RNAcentral.
CUGUACAUCCAAAGUUGAUACACUAAAAUUUGAACUAUACAGAGAAGAUUAGCGUGGCCCCUGCGCAAGGGUGACACGAAAAUUUCUGAAGCACCAUCAUCAUCA